Dermochelys coriacea (leatherback sea turtle) is the source of this 171-nucleotide long non-coding RNA. RefSeq lists it as uncharacterized. The transcript has 3 exons. The record is from RefSeq and is a predicted model, not a curated record. Lineage: Eukaryota; Metazoa; Chordata; Testudines; Dermochelyidae.
GUAUAUAGAGCAGUAUAAACAAGUCAUUGUCUGUAUGAAAUUUUAGUUUGUACUGACUUUGCUAGUGCUUUUUACGUAGCCUGUUGUAAAACUAGGCAAAUAUCUAGAUGAGUUGAUGAAACCUCUUGUUGACCUCUGCGUACUCCCAGGGAUGUGUGACCCCUGAUAGAA